This 547-nucleotide ribosomal RNA is filed under the name uncultured Planctomycetota bacterium. RNAcentral describes it as "bacterial SSU rRNA". It matches the Rfam family "Bacterial small subunit ribosomal RNA", at positions 365 to 907 of the family's 1533-position model. Lineage: Bacteria; Pseudomonadati; Planctomycetota. The record is from RNAcentral.
UCGGCAAUGGGCGAAAGCCUGACCGAGCGACGCCGCGUGCGGGGUGAAGGCCUUCGGGUUGUAAACCGCUGUCGUUGGGGAGGAAAUGCAGGGGGGUUCUCCCCUCUGUUUGACCUAUCCAAGGAGGAAGUACGGGCUAAGUUCGUGCCAGCAGCCGCGGUAAGACGAACCGUACGAACGUUAUUCGGUAUUACUGGGCUUAAAGAGUUCGUAGGCGGCGAAGUAGGUGAGGUGUGAAAGCCCUCGGCUCAACCGAGGAACUGCGCUUCAAACCACUUUGCUAGAGGGAGAUAGAGGUAAGCGGAACAGAUGGUGGAACGGUGAAAUGUAUUGAUAUCAUCUGGAACACCGGUGGCGAAAGCGGCUUACUGGGUCUUUUCUGACGCUGAGGAACGAAAGCUAGGGUAGCGAACGGGAUUAGAUACCCCGGUAGUCCUAGCCGUAAACGAUGAGCACUAGUCUGAGGGACUUUCACGGUUUCUCGGACGUAGCGAAAGUGUUAAGUGCUCCGCCUGGGGAGUAUGGUCGCAAGGCUGAAACUCAAAGG